This 255-nucleotide ribosomal RNA is filed under the name uncultured bacterium. RNAcentral describes it as "partial 16S ribosomal RNA". It matches the Rfam family "Bacterial small subunit ribosomal RNA", at positions 524 to 775 of the family's 1533-position model. The record is from RNAcentral.
UACGUAGGGUCCGAGCGUUGUCCGGAAUUACUGGGCGUAAAGAGCUCGUAGGUGGUUUGUCGCGUUGUUCGUGAAAACUCACAGCUCAACUGUGGGCGUGCGGGCGAUACGGGCAGACUGGAGUACUGCAGGGGAGACUGGAAUUCCUGGUGUAGCGGUGAAAUGCGCAGAUAUCAGGAGGAACACCGAUGGCGAAGGCAGAUCUCUGGGCCGUAACUGACGCUGGAGGGAAGCGGAAAGCAUGGGAGCGAACAG